Molecule: long non-coding RNA, 612 nt
Organism: Chenopodium quinoa (quinoa)
Lineage: Eukaryota; Viridiplantae; Streptophyta; Magnoliopsida; Caryophyllales; Amaranthaceae
Exons: 5
Source: RefSeq, a predicted model, not a curated record
ACAAAUGGCAAACCACUUUACAGAUAUGAUCUAGAACCAUUCAGGGUUAGAAGGAAGGACUUUUGGUUGCUAUCAACAGUUGGGAAGCUUUUGAAGGAAUUUAUCCCUAACCUUUCACAUGAAGCUGAUGGUCUUGUUUUUCAGGGGUGGGAUGAUCCCUACGUUCCCAAGACGCAUCAAGGCCUCUUAAAGUGGAAAUAUCCUGAAAUGAACUCAGUUGAUUUUCUCUUUGAGAUAGGAGAAGACGGCACUGAAAACCUUUAUCUUUACGAUCGAGGAAAAAAGCGAUUGAUGGACAAUAACAGGGUUACAUUUGGAGUCGCGGGAAGAAGAGGCAGGAAUCAACUAGGAAAUUUGGAAGUGGGAACCCUUAACCAUUGCUGGGAUGCACUGUGUGAAAGUCAAUUUAAACGAGUGGAUUAAGAGAGUUCGUGCUGUAUUUGUAAUCAAAUGUAUGAAAAGAGGUUCUUAUUAUAGCUAGAAAUCUAGAAUGCAGUUCUAAGUAAUGUAAUGUGCUGGGUAAUUAGAAAGCAAAGAAAUUUUUAGUUCUAGAAACAUGGAGAUUUGGAGGGGAAAACAAUGAAGAAUGUUGUUGGGUGAAUUAUUUAGUUA